RNAcentral lists this transfer RNA (74 nucleotides) under Mycobacterium phage Dandelion. RNAcentral's name for it is "tRNA-Thr". It matches the Rfam family "tRNA". From Rfam's summary of the family: Transfer RNA (tRNA) molecules are approximately 80 nucleotides in length. The record is from RNAcentral. Lineage: Duplodnaviria; Heunggongvirae; Uroviricota; Caudoviricetes. RNAcentral also lists the same sequence under 13 other names.
GCCCUUGUAGCUCAGUGGCAGAGCACCGAUCUUGUAAAUCGGGUUGUCGAGCGUUCGAUUCGUUCCUGGGGCUC